Molecule: transfer RNA, 62 nt
Filed under: Cacopsylla fuscicella
Lineage: Eukaryota; Metazoa; Arthropoda; Insecta; Hemiptera; Psyllidae
Description: tRNA-Glu
Source: RNAcentral
CCUUUUGUAGUUUACAAUAAAAAUUUCACUCUUUCAAUGUGAAGAAGAUUCUUCCAAAAGUU